AAGGAGAACUGGAAGGGAAGAUUUCAUGCUGUUGAUUUUCCUGGAGAAGCAUCCUGUGGCUGGUUUUCUGGAUAUGAACUUAGCUGUUGUUGUCAUCAGAGGAGCUCAGGUCCUCGCUGUCAACAGGGACGGCCGCUGUUCUCUUCCAGGGAGCUCAGGUCUUCGGUUCCUGGCUCCACUGCAGAUCCCUCAGCCCACCAGUGCAGACUUUCUGGCUUCCACCACUGGCCUUGGCCUUCCUGGUGCAGUUUCUCGAUACGGACUUGCAGGAGACAUUGCCAUGGGCUCCAGGCCUUCAGCUGGACUCUGCAGGACACUGCUGUGGGAUCUAAGGCCUCAGUUCUCUUGCUGAGCCAAAACCAAAAUUGUAAAUCAAACAAGGACGAGACAACAGCCCAGCUGAACCAUUGGCUGAGGAGGGCUGGAGAGCAGCGCCUGUGGACAUCUGCUGUUAGGCAUGAGCCAAGCCUUCCCAGGAGAACUGGAGAGGAGCUCCAGUCUUCGCUUUCACCUUCAAUGUUGUCCUCUGGCUUCCAGCACAGACUCCUCAGCCUCCAUCACAGACCCAUCGGCCUCCUGAUGUGGACUCGCAG
RNAcentral lists this long non-coding RNA (593 nucleotides) under Heterocephalus glaber (naked mole-rat). RNAcentral's name for it is "lncRNA (ENSHGLG00100038651.1)". Lineage: Eukaryota; Metazoa; Chordata; Mammalia; Rodentia; Bathyergidae. The record is from RNAcentral.